CCCUGGGUAGUGCAAUAGUUACCACACUUGGCUGCUAACCAAAAGUUUGGAGGUUCAAGUCCACCCAGAGGCA
This 73-nucleotide transfer RNA is filed under the name Loxodonta africana (African savanna elephant). It matches the Rfam family "tRNA". From Rfam's summary of the family: Transfer RNA (tRNA) molecules are approximately 80 nucleotides in length. Their secondary structure includes four short double-helical elements and three loops (D, anti-codon, and T loops). The record is from Rfam by way of RNAcentral. Lineage: Eukaryota; Metazoa; Chordata; Mammalia; Proboscidea; Elephantidae.